GUGAGGAAUAUUGCGCAAUGGAGGCAACUCUGACGCAGCCAUGCCGCGUGCAGGAAGAAGGCGCUACGCGUUGUAAACUGCUUUUAUCUGGGAAGAAAAAGGCCAUGCGUGGCAAAUUGCCGGUACCAGAUGAAUAAGCACCGGCUAACUCCGUGCCAGCAGCCGCGGUAAUACGGAGGGUGCGAGCGUUGUCCGGAUUUAUUGGGUUUAAAGGGUGCGUAGGCGGCUGAUUAAGUCAGCGGUGAAAGACUUCGGCUUAACCGGAGCAGUGCCGUUGAUACUGGUUGGCUUGAGUGUCGGAGGGGUACAUGGAAUUGAUGGUGUAGCGGUGAAAUGCAUAGAUACCAUCAGGAACACCGAUAGCGAAGGCAUUGUACUGGCCGACAACUGACGCUGAUGCACGAAAGUGUGGGGAUCGAACAGGAUUAGAAACCCUGGUAGUCC
RNAcentral lists this ribosomal RNA (444 nucleotides) under uncultured bacterium. RNAcentral's name for it is "bacterial SSU rRNA". It matches the Rfam family "Bacterial small subunit ribosomal RNA", at positions 354 to 796 of the family's 1533-position model. The record is from RNAcentral.